GGCCUUUUCAAAUUAGCUUCCUGAACAGCCACAGCUAUAAUGUGAUCCUUACCGAGUGCUUCAUGAGAGCGCAGACACUUGUGUAUAAAUAGGAAGCUCUUGUGUCAAUACCCAAGACACCAAUAUCAAGGCCAGACAGAAAAUGCUCCAACAAGAGACCUAUAGUGCACAAGUAAUCACAUGGGCUGAGGCCAGGUGGGGACUGUAAAACACAAUAGGAGACAUAGUCCCCCCUUCAUUGCCUCAUUGCCAGAGAUUUUUUUCUCUAUAUGGUUUUGGAAUAAAGUAGAAGCAAUAGCUGCCAGGAAUUCUCAUAAAGUACCACGGUGUCUGAGUAAUAACAUUCUCUAAGUCACGGAAUGUCAGGAAGUUCCAUUUUCUCUGUGACCUACAAUAUAAAAAAAAAAUCUAUUCACUGAGUAUGGUGGAGAAAGGGUUUCUGAGGUGAAUCCUGAGGGAAUCUGCUCUUCAAUAGAACAACUGAGCCAGGUUUUCUUCUGCAAACUGAACAUCACGGUGAGUCCAUUUUCAGAGAGAAGAACGAGGAAAAGGAAGAAGGUGACAGGACAUGAAUGCACAGAAGGAGGGAGAGGAGACGGAGUUGGGCAAUGCUCUUUGGAAAUGUCAAGGCAGUUGGAAGAGUUGGAAGGUUGCUUUUAUCGUGAGCAUGUAUACGACGCAAAUAAGAGAGGAGAAAAAAAAAACAGGAAAAGCAAGAGACUGGCUUGGAAAAUGGUAAUGAAGAAGCAGUUCAGUGAUAAUCACCUCAACUACUGGAGACUGAGAAGCAAAUCUACCACAAAAAGGCAGAAAAAUACAGAUUCAGAAAGGAAAAAAAAACAGACUGACUAAAACCAACCAACAAAAAUGAACAAGCCACCCAAUAGCUCCAUCUCCUAAUAAAUAAAUAAAUAAACAAACAAAUAAAUAAUAAAUAAAUAAAUAAAUCUUAUCUCUGAUCACUAACGGCAAGUAGUUCUGGUAGAUUUAAGAAAGAGUGCGUUGCCAAACCAACUGUUUAUCCAAUACUAAAUGAUCAGCCCAGAAAUCAUAUAUACGAGGAACUAGUUAUAUUUAGGAAUAUAUAUAUAUAUAUAUCUCAAUUAAUGGAAAACGGGGAUAUAAAGAGAGAGAUAGAUAG
RNAcentral lists this small RNA (1141 nucleotides) under Rattus norvegicus (Norway rat). RNAcentral describes it as "uncharacterized LOC108349009". Lineage: Eukaryota; Metazoa; Chordata; Mammalia; Rodentia; Muridae. The record is from RNAcentral.